This 374-nucleotide transfer-messenger RNA is filed under the name Longimicrobium terrae. RNAcentral's name for it is "Standard tmRNA". It matches the Rfam family "transfer-messenger RNA". From Rfam's summary of the family: Bacterial tmRNA, also known as 10Sa RNA or SsrA, is named for its dual tRNA and mRNA-like properties. Its role is to liberate the mRNA from a stalled ribosome. The record is from Rfam by way of RNAcentral. Lineage: Bacteria; Pseudomonadati; Gemmatimonadota; Longimicrobiia; Longimicrobiales; Longimicrobiaceae.
GGGGCUGUCAUGGUUUCGACGUGUAUGGUGAAGCCGUGGCUGCGUGCCGAGGUGCUCGGAGCACUCGUAAAACCUCCGGGAAAUUGUAACCGCGAACGAUAACUUCGCCCUGGCUGCGUAAGUAGAGUCCUAAACGGCUCCUUACCUCCCAUUUGCCGAUCAGCCCUGCUCGAGGCGGGUCGGUAGAUGUCGCUAAAAUCGAGCUGGCCCGCGUUCGGCGCCGUAACGGCGCGGGUGAGAACUUUACGGCUGGUUCCUGAUGGGCCUUGCUCUGGCCGAUGAGGGGACGAGGAGAAAGGAACAGAGCAAUACGCACGUAGACGCUGCGGGGGAUCUGUAGGCGGACGCGGGUUCGACUCCCGCCAGCUCCAUAC